Molecule: ribosomal RNA, 496 nt
Filed under: uncultured bacterium
Lineage: Bacteria
Description: partial 16S ribosomal RNA
Rfam family: Bacterial small subunit ribosomal RNA
Source: RNAcentral
GAUGAACGCUGGCGGCGUGCCUAAUACAUGCAAGUCGAGCGAACAGACGAGGAGCUUGCUCCUCUGACGUUAGCGGCGGACGGGUGAGUAACACGUGGAUAACCUACCUAUAAGACUGGGAUAACUUCGGGAAACCGGAGCUAAUACCGGAUAAUAUAUUGAACCGCAUGGUUCAAUAGUGAAAGACGGUUUUGCUGUCACUUAUAGAUGGAUCCGCGCCGCAUUAGCUAGUUGGUAAGGUAACGGCUUACCAAGGCAACGAUGCGUAGCCGACCUGAGAGGGUGAGCGGCCACACUGGAACUGAGACACGGUCCAGACUCCUACGGGAGGCAGCAGUAGGGAAUCUUCCGCAAUGGGCGAAAGCCUGACGGAGCAACGCCGCGUGAGUGAUGAAGGUCUUCAGAUCGUAAAACUCUGUUAUUAGGGAAGAACAAAUGUGUAAGUAACUAUGCACGUCUUGACGGUACCUAAUCAGAAAGCCACGGCUAACUACGU